This is a long non-coding RNA of Prinia subflava (tawny-flanked prinia), 3787 nucleotides long. RefSeq lists it as uncharacterized. The record is from RefSeq and is a predicted model, not a curated record. NCBI's taxonomy places the organism in Eukaryota, Metazoa, Chordata, Aves, Passeriformes, Cisticolidae. The transcript has 2 exons.
GCCCCGGGAUUGCUCGGAGAUGCACCGGGAGAGCCCCGGGAUGCACCGGGAGAGCUCCAGGAUGCACCGGGAGAGCCUGGGAUGCACAGGGACAGCCGCGGGAGGCACCGAGAGAGCCCCGAGAUGCACCGGGAGAGCGCCGGGAUGCAUCAGGAGAACCCCGGGAUGCACCGGGACAGCCCCUGAAGCACCGGGAGAGCCCCGGGAUGCACCGGGAGAGCUCCGGGAUGCACCGGGAGAGCCCCGGGAUGCAUCGGGAGAACCGUGGGAUGCACCAGGACAGCUCCGGGAUGCACCGGGAGAGCCCCUGAAGCCCCGGGAGAGCCCCGGGAUGCCUCGGCACAGCUCCGGAAUGCACCAGGACAGCUCCGGGAUGCACCGGGAGAGCCCCGGGAUGCACCGGGAGAGCCCCGGGAUGCACCGGGAGAACCGCUGAAGCACCGGGACAGCUCCGGGAUGCACCAGGACAGCUCCGGGAUGCACCGGGAGAGCUCCGGGAUGCACCGGGAGAGCCCCGGGGAGCAGCGGAGCUCCCUUCUCCCCGCAGUGCCCCCGUGCUCUGGGAACAAGGACAGCCUCACCUGUGCCCGCCCCGCCGGGACCCGCCCUGCAGGUCGGAUGUCGCAUUUACAGAGGGCUCGAGUUCGGUGCAAGGAGCCAUCUGUUUGCUUGGAAGAAAGUGAUUGUGCUGGAGGAUUUUUAGUCCUGUGACAGCAAAGCCAAGGAACAAACAAACCAAACAAAAUCAAAAUACCCGUGGGAAGUAAAAUACAGAAUCGAGCCCGACAACUAUUCAUAUACUGUGGAAACAUUUUAUUUAACCUCAGUUUCUCUUCCUCCUCCCUUUUAUUUUUUUCCUUUGCCAUUCCUUCCCCUCUUCCCCUUUUCCCUCUUCCCUCCCUUUUCCACUUCCCCCCCUUUUUUCCCUUCCCUUUUUUUUAAAUUUUUUAAAUUUUUUUUUAACCUCCAGGCAGAAAAUCCCAAUUGUUCAAAGCAGCUGGGAGAAAAAAUCAGGGGAAAUGCAUUUAUUCAUUUCUUCAAGGUGAGAGAAGAGAAACUGUUCAGAUUUGGAUGGAUACUGUUUCAGCAAUGACCCCUGAUUACAUGAGGCAUUAAGUAACAUUAAAUAUUAAGUUACAUUACACUAGAUACAAUAAGUACAUUAAUGUACUGUUUUACUGUUUUCCUUCCUUGGUACCACCUGCCUCUCCCCUUCCUAGCUAGAUUUUAGGAAUUUAACCUUUCUGAACUGCAAUGCCACCAAUUCAAGUUUCAAUUUCUAAAUUUUAGAAUUAUUCUUGGAAAUGCUGGUCAGAGCUUCUAAGCACAUUCCUGACCGAGCAAAGAAUUUGUAUUUUGGAUGAUUUCCUUAUGAUAAGACAUUUAUGUCCUAAAAUAUGGUGUAUUUCUUAGGAUGUUUUCCAAUUACUUUCUCAGAGGGUAGAGCUGAUGAUCUUUAAGGUCCCUUCCAACCUGGAUAUUCGGUGAUUCCACGAUUCUCCUUCAGUGGUGGUGACAUGCCAUGAAAAGUAAAUCACGUGUAGAAUCGUUGUGCAGGACAACAGCCCAUGGUUAUCUUGUUAUUAUUUCAUCCCUUCCUAACCCUUAAAGCUGACACCGGGCAAGGGUGUCAGAAUCUGAGGGCAACAAAACAAUUCCCACACAGCAGCCCUGGGAGAGGAGAGGGGGAGGCAGUUAAAAAAGAAAAAAAGAAAAAAAGAAAGAAAGGAAAUAAAUAAUUGCUACAUUUGGGCUGGACAAUACCAGUUCUGUGCAAAGCCCUGCCCUGGCACUCUGCCCCAUCCCAGGGCACAUUCCCUCUUCCAGGGCAGGGCUUUUUCCUGAGUGACCAACACGCUCUGCCUCGUGUUCCCACCUCCAGCUGCUGCUUCUCCUCCCCUGAGCCCCCACCACGUCUGUCCCCUGUCCUUCCUUCUGUCCAUCCCACGGGAAGCUGUUUAGGAUCAACACUUCCCUGAGGAAUGCCAGUGACUCUCCAGCCAUCCCCUCCCACUUUGCUUCCCCACCCUGGUACAGAAGAAGUUGCUCUAAUAAAGAGCUUAAUUUAAGAAUUUGAAAUGCACAGAAGUAACACAGAAUGGUUUGGAAGGGAAGGGAUCUUAAAGAUCAUCUCAUUCCAACCCCCUCCCCUGGGCAGGGACACCUCCUCCUAUCCCAGGUUGCUCCAAGCCCUGUCCAGGCUGGCCUUGGACACUUCCAGGGAUGGGAGAUUUAGAAUCCCUCUGGACAACCUUUGCCCCCCUCACAUAAAGAAUUUCUUCCCAAUAUCCAAUCCAAACCUGCUCUCUUUGAGUCCAGGCCAUUCCCCCUUGUUCUGACUCCAUGGCCCUAUGGAAAGUCCCUCCCCAGCUCCCCUUUAGGCACUGAAAGCUGCUCUGAGGUCACCCCAGAGCCUUCUCUUCUCCAGGCUGGGUUCUACACAAAGUUUUACAGCCCAACAAAACACCCCAGGAUGAGUCUGACACCUUUUGUAAAAAUUGCAAACCUAGAAUUUGGGUGAAGCUAAAACACAACGCAACAAAGCAGAUCCUGAGUUUGACUUCAGCAGGAGCUUCCCAGACCCCAGGGCAGAGUUCAGAACUGAUUUGUGUUUAGCACUGGAUGUUUCCUGGCUGUGCUCAAGGUAGCCAGGAUUCUCUCAGACUGCUCCUUGCACCAAACAAAGGCCAAGGCGUGUUUGGAAUGUUUGGAGAUGCCACCACGCAGCUUCUGCAGCUCAGUGACUCAGGCAGCACCUGAGGGAUGAGGAAUUAGGCAGGUUCCCCACGCUGGAUUGAGUCUCUUAAAGCCCUGACUAAACCCAAGAGCCCCUGGAGUCGUGCUUUGCUGGGAUCCCAGUAACACAGCUGGAAGGGCACACACGAACUGGUUUUUCUCUGUGGCACAUCAGGAGGGUUGAGUUACAGUGUAGCAGCCAAAAUUUCACACAGAUUUUGUCAUUUUUUUCCCCAAACCCAAGGCCUCCGAGUUCUUUUUCUUCCCAGAGAAUAGAUUACCCUGAGAACUUUUGGCCUUCUCUUCAAGGAGCUCUGGGACAUGACUGAUGAGGUAAUUCUUCACAAAAACAAUGCUCCUGUAUGCUUAAAAAAACCAAUUUAUAACCAGCCCUUUGUUCUGUGCUGAUAAACAAUUAAUAACACCCCACAAUAUUUAUUUCCAGUGCCUUCCACUCCAAGGCUUCCCAACCCAACCUGUUCUGGGGCAGGCCGAUGUCAAAACCAGCCUGAUUAACAAUUAACAAGGCCAUGAUUGAUUUAUCAUUACCAGCAACAGCUUUAUGGGCAAUUGUUUCCAGCUCCUUCACCUCAGAAGAGGCGAUUUUUCAACUCUGAGAGUUUGAAAGUCAAGAGGCAGCAUUGAAACAAAUGUAGAGCUCUCCACAUCUCUCACAGUUCUUAUUGCUGCUGCGUGGAGAGCACUUAAUUCAGAUUUUAUUAAGGGAACUUCUGGCUGUGCAGUAAAGGAACAGAGGAACACUCUGCUGUGACAGGUCUGAAGUUUAUUCUCUCUGUAUUCAGUGCAGACAUCACAAACCCCAGCCACAAACUUAACUGCAGAAAAUGAAAUUAAGUUUUUAGUACCAGAAUUCAUUUAGUACCAGAAUAUAAGUCAGUAAUUAUUUAUUGAUGUAUUAAUGACACCAACUGAUUAUGUUUGGCCAUAAAAGGUGGAUCAGUGCUAUUUUUAUUUUCACCUAAUUCCAUUUAGUUCUGAUAAUAAGGAAUGUCUGUCCAACAGGGAUUCUGGUCUUGAGUCUCCCCCCAGA